AUGGCGGCCGACGGCGAGAGACAGCGGGAGGAGGCUAGGGAGCUCGCCAAGUACGAGGAGGACUGCAAAGACUUCAAGGUGUCCACGUACCUGAUCGCCAUGCUCAUCGCGGUCUCCUUGGCGUUCCUGGUCACCAGCUUCCUCGUCCCGCGCACGCCCCAGUGGUACCGCACCUACUUCUUGCAGUGCGCGGUGCUGUUUUUCCUUGAUGCCGCGUUCGGCUUCUGCCUCAUCACGCGGAGAUUCGGCUGGUUCGCUUUGCCCAAGAGGCCUGAUGUCGAAGGCCAGCCCCGUGGAGAAGACAAGCCAGAUCUCGAAAUCCAGCUCGGUGCGGUGGAGGCGACGGGCGCUGAUCGUUUCUGCCCAGUUUAA
Molecule: ribosomal RNA, 372 nt
Filed under: Triticum aestivum (bread wheat)
Lineage: Eukaryota; Viridiplantae; Streptophyta; Magnoliopsida; Poales; Poaceae
Description: partial small subunit ribosomal RNA
Source: RNAcentral